This 387-nucleotide ribosomal RNA is filed under the name uncultured bacterium. RNAcentral's name for it is "bacterial SSU rRNA". It matches the Rfam family "Bacterial small subunit ribosomal RNA", at positions 28 to 412 of the family's 1533-position model. The record is from RNAcentral.
GAUGAACGCUAGCGGCAGGCCUAAUACAUGCAAGACGAACGGUAACUUUGGUAGCAAUAUUGAAGCAAGAGUGUCGUAAGGGUGCGUAACACGUAUGCAAUCUGCCCUCAACAGGAGGAUAGCUCCCCGAAAGGGGAAUUAACACUCCAUAAGAUUGUGGUCUGGCAUCAGACAGCAAUUAAAACUACGGUGGUUGAGGAUGAGCAUGCGCAUGAUUAGUUAGUUGGCGGGGUAACGGCCCACCAAGACGAUGAUCAUUAGGGGAACUGAGAGGUUGAUCCCCCACACUGGCACUGAGAUACGGGCCAGACUCCUACGGGAGGCAGCAGUAGGGAAUAUUGGACAAUGGGUGCGAGCCUGAUCCAGCCAUGCCGCGUGCAGGAAGAC